Molecule: small RNA, 32 nt
Filed under: Arabidopsis thaliana (thale cress)
Lineage: Eukaryota; Viridiplantae; Streptophyta; Magnoliopsida; Brassicales; Brassicaceae
Description: ATSL002070
Source: RNAcentral
CGCUCUCCCAACUGAGCUAUCCCCGCUUGGGA